RNAcentral lists this transfer RNA (66 nucleotides) under Satyrium pruni. Its description in RNAcentral is "tRNA-Val". Lineage: Eukaryota; Metazoa; Arthropoda; Insecta; Lepidoptera; Lycaenidae. The record is from RNAcentral.
UAAAUUAUAGCUUAACAAAAAGUAUUUCAUUUACAUUGAAAAGAUAUUAAAUUAUAAUUAAUUUAA